This 70-nucleotide transfer RNA is filed under the name Dipodomys ordii (Ord's kangaroo rat). It matches the Rfam family "tRNA". Rfam says of the family: Transfer RNA (tRNA) molecules are approximately 80 nucleotides in length. Their secondary structure includes four short double-helical elements and three loops (D, anti-codon, and T loops). The record is from Rfam by way of RNAcentral. Lineage: Eukaryota; Metazoa; Chordata; Mammalia; Rodentia; Heteromyidae.
GGGAAUGUGGCUCAGGGGUAGAGUGCUUGCUUUGCAUGCAUGAAGGCUUGGGUUCGAUUCCUCAGUUCCA